CCGUUGAUGGUGUAAUGGUCAGCAUUGCUGCCUUCCAAGCAGCAGAUCUGGGUUCAAUUCCCAGUCAACGCAC
RNAcentral lists this transfer RNA (73 nucleotides) under Streptococcus pyogenes. RNAcentral's name for it is "tRNA-Gly". It matches the Rfam family "tRNA". From Rfam's summary of the family: Transfer RNA (tRNA) molecules are approximately 80 nucleotides in length. Their secondary structure includes four short double-helical elements and three loops (D, anti-codon, and T loops). The record is from RNAcentral. Lineage: Bacteria; Bacillati; Bacillota; Bacilli; Lactobacillales; Streptococcaceae.